CCUACGGGUGGCUGCAGUAAGGAAUAUUGGACAAUGGGCGCAAGCCUGAUCCAGCCAUGCCGCGUGCAGGAUGAAGGGCUCAGCUCUGUAAACUGCUUUUGUGGAACCCGUUGUACCAAAAGAAUAAGGGACGGCUAACUUCGUGCCAGCAGCCGCGGUAAUACGAAGGUCCCAAGCGUUAUCCGGAUUUAUUGGGUUUAAAGGGUGCGUAGGCGGGCUAUUAAGUCAGUGGUGAAAGCCUCAAGCUUAACUUGAGAAUUGCCAUUGAUACUGAUGACCUUGAGUACAUUUGAAGUGGGCGGAAUGUGUCAUGUAGCGGUGAAAUGCUUAGAUAUGACACAGAACACCGAUUGCGUAGGCAGCUCACUAAACUGUACUGACGCUGAGGCACGAAAGCGUGGGGAGCAAACAGGAUUAGAUACCCUUGUAGUC
RNAcentral lists this ribosomal RNA (432 nucleotides) under uncultured bacterium. RNAcentral's name for it is "partial 16S ribosomal RNA". It matches the Rfam family "Bacterial small subunit ribosomal RNA", at positions 338 to 795 of the family's 1533-position model. The record is from RNAcentral.